UGGGGAAUAUUGCACAAUGGGGGAAACCCUGAUGCAGCAACGCCGCGUGAGUGAUGACGGCCUUCGGGUUGUAAAGCUCUGUCUUCAGGGACGAUAAUGACGGUACCCUGGGAAUAAGCACCGGCUAACUCCGUGCCAGCAGCCGCGGUAAUACGGAGGGUGCAAGCGUUAUCCGGAUUCACUGGGUUUAAAGGGUGCGUAGGUGGGCAGAUAAGUCAGUGGUGAAAUCUUCCGGCUUAACCGGGAAACUGCCGUUGAUACUAUUUGUCUUGAAUAUUGCGGAGGUAAGCGGAAUAUGUCAUGUAGCGGUGAAAUGCUUAGAUAUGACAUAGAACACCAAUUGCGAAGGCAGCUUGCUACACAAUCAUUGACACUGAGGCACGAAAGCGUGGGUAGCGAACA
Molecule: ribosomal RNA, 402 nt
Filed under: uncultured bacterium
Lineage: Bacteria
Description: bacterial SSU rRNA
Rfam family: Bacterial small subunit ribosomal RNA
Source: RNAcentral